GUUUGAGACUCAUAUAAUCAAUCCCAGACAUUGUUGGUGCAUGUAAGCCCACUACGCAUAGUUCCAUCCUGAAGAAGAAAAUGUCACCAACUUCAAUCCCAGGUACAUUUCCAAUCCUCUUUGUUUGGUUUGUACGCAUUCCCUUUAACAUCAUCAUCUUAGAAGCUUUUAAGUCUGGCCUUCUACCAGAACCUGCACCAUACCUCGGUUCAUCAAUUUGAGUCAUCCUUCUUCUGAACAAGUCAAAAACUAGUAGUAUCCUCCUCACUACCUCCUUGUCACCAUCAGCUUUCUUAGCCUGAUCCAAGUCAACAAGUUUAAAAGACAUCAGCAAUUGAUUUAACAAAGGUUCAACAUCCACUUCCACAACAUUCUCCGGAGGAACUUUUCGAGGCUUUUUCGGUCCUCCCUUUUUCUUUCCACUACCGGAGUCUCCUACAUUAUUAACAUGUCCACUACUUCCAUUUGCAGUUUGAUUUCCAAAUGAAUUAACAGGAAUUGGAGAUAUAGGUUGCCCAAAACCAAAAGUCCCCUGAUUCGGCACCUGAUUUGGCGUUUGUUGACUACUUUCUCCCAUCCUUACCGGCUCAUCCGGAGACAAGAAAGGAAAAAUUGGAGUAACCCCACUCGGAAACGGACCAGUGGGAGUAAUACACACAAAAGGUGAGGGUUGUGGAGUUGUAAUAGAUGACAUUUCACUUGCAGAUGGAAAUACAGGGGAAAGACAUCUCAAAGGCUUCACAUCUAAAACCCUAGUUUUAUCAAUGGUAGACCCACUUGGAUCAGAACCAAAACCUUGUUCCAUUAUUAAUCAAAUUCAACAACCAAACA
This 831-nucleotide unclassified non-coding RNA is filed under the name Hevea brasiliensis (rubber tree). The record is from RNAcentral. Lineage: Eukaryota; Viridiplantae; Streptophyta; Magnoliopsida; Malpighiales; Euphorbiaceae.